RNAcentral lists this unclassified non-coding RNA (241 nucleotides) under fungal sp. RNAcentral describes it as "partial internal transcribed spacer region". The stretch from base 1 to 46 matches the Rfam family "Eukaryotic small subunit ribosomal RNA", at positions 1786 to 1831 of the family's 1831-position model. The record is from RNAcentral. Lineage: Eukaryota; Fungi.
AAGUCGUAACAAGGUAACCGUAGGUGAACCUGCGGUUGGAUCAUUAAUAAAAAGAUAAAGAUUACUGGGUUUAUACCCGGUAAUUUUUAUAAACCUUUUGUGAACAGUAAUUGUAUCUGGGGUGAGAGGGAUUAAUUUCUUUUCACCCCAUCAAUAUUUUGAACUUUUAUAUAUUUAUAUUAAAUCAAUAUUAUUUUAAAUAUUAAAAAAACAACUUUUGACAACGGAUCUCUAGGCUCUC